This 347-nucleotide ribosomal RNA is filed under the name uncultured bacterium. RNAcentral's name for it is "bacterial SSU rRNA". It matches the Rfam family "Bacterial small subunit ribosomal RNA", at positions 917 to 1264 of the family's 1533-position model. The record is from RNAcentral.
GGGCCCGCACAAGCGGCGGAGCAUGCGGCUUAAUUCGAUGCAACGCGAAGAACCUUACCUACACUUGACAUCCUCGGAACUUUCUAGAGAUAGAUUGGUGCCUUCGGGAACCGAGUGACAGGUGCUGCAUGGCUGUCGUCAGCUCGUGUCGUGAGAUGUUGGGUUAAGUCCCGUAACGAGCGCAACCCUUAUCCUUAAUUGCCAGCGGUUCGGCCGGGAACUCUAAGGAGACUGCCGAUGACAAAUCGGAGGAAGGUGGGGACGACGUCAAGUCAUCAUGGCCCUUACGUGUAGGGCUACACACGUGCUACAAUGGCCGGUACAAACGGUUGCGAACCUGCAAAGGG